GAGUUUGAUCCUGGCUCAGGAUGAACGCUGGCGGCGUGCCUAACACAUGCAAGUCGAACGAAGCACCUUACCUGAUUCUUCGGAUGAAGGUCUGGUGACUGAGUGGCGGACGGGUGAGUAACGCGUGGGUAACCUGCCCUGUACAGGGGGAUAACAGUUGGAAACGGCUGCUAAUACCGCAUAAGCGCACGAGAGGACAUCCUCUUGUGUGAAAAACUCCGGUGGUACAGGAUGGGCCCGCGUCUGAUUAGCUGGUUGGCGGGGUAACGGCCCACCAAAGCGACGAUCAGUAGCCGACCUGAGAGGGUGACCGGCCACAUUGGGACUGAGACACGGCCCAAACUCCUACGGGAGGCAGCAGUGGGGGAUAUUGCACAAUGGGGGAAACCCUGAUGCAGCGACGCCGCGUGGAGGAAGAAGGUUUUCGGAUUGUAAACUCCUGUCGUUAGGGACGAUAAUGACGGUACCUAACAAGAAAGCACCGGCUAACUACGUGCCAGCCGCCGCGGUAAUAC
RNAcentral lists this ribosomal RNA (515 nucleotides) under uncultured bacterium. Its description in RNAcentral is "bacterial SSU rRNA". It matches the Rfam family "Bacterial small subunit ribosomal RNA", at positions 9 to 526 of the family's 1533-position model. The record is from RNAcentral.